RNAcentral lists this ribosomal RNA (207 nucleotides) under uncultured bacterium. RNAcentral's name for it is "partial 16S ribosomal RNA". It matches the Rfam family "Bacterial small subunit ribosomal RNA", at positions 568 to 774 of the family's 1533-position model. The record is from RNAcentral.
CGCGUAGGCGGACCUGCAAGUCGGGGGUGAAAGCCCGAGGCUCAACCUCGGAACUGCCUUCGAUACUGCGGGUCUCGAGUCCGGGAGAGGUGAGUGGAAUUCCUAGUGUAGAGGUGAAAUUCGUAGAUAUUAGGAAGAACACCAGUGGCGAAGGCGGCUCACUGGCCCGGUACUGACGCUGAGGCGCGAAAGCGUGGGGAGCAAACA